Molecule: ribosomal RNA, 440 nt
Filed under: uncultured bacterium
Lineage: Bacteria
Description: partial 16S ribosomal RNA
Rfam family: Bacterial small subunit ribosomal RNA
Source: RNAcentral
CCUACGGGAGGCAGCAGUGGGGAAUAUUGGACAAUGGGGGAAAGCCUGAACCAGCGAAGCCGCGUGAGUGAAGAAGUAUUUCGGUACGUAAAGCUCUAUCAGCCGGAGAGAAAAUGACGGUACCUGACUAAGAAGCCCCGGCUAACUACGUGCCAGCAGCCGCGGUAAUACGUAGGGGGCAAGCGUUAUCCGGAUUUACUGGGGGUAAAGGGAGCGUAGACGGCAGCGCAAGUCUGGAGGGAAAUGCCUGGGCCCAACCCCGGAACGGCUGUGGAAACUGGGAAGCUGGAGUGCAGGAGAGGUAAGCGGAAUGCGUGGUGUAGCGGUGAAAUGCAUAGAUAUCAGGAGGAACACCGGCGGCGAAGGCGGCUUACUGGACUGUAACUGACGUUGAGGCUCGAAGGCGUGGGGAGCAAACAGGAUUAGAUACCCUAGUAGUC